This 295-nucleotide ribosomal RNA is filed under the name Staphylococcus epidermidis. Its description in RNAcentral is "partial 16S ribosomal RNA". It matches the Rfam family "Bacterial small subunit ribosomal RNA", at positions 135 to 426 of the family's 1533-position model. The record is from RNAcentral. Lineage: Bacteria; Bacillati; Bacillota; Bacilli; Caryophanales; Staphylococcaceae.
AGACUGGGAUAACUUCGGGAAACCGGAGCUAAUACCGGAUAAUAUAUURAACCGCAUGGUUCAAUAGUGAAAGACGGUUUUGCUGUCACUUAUAGAUGGAUCCGCGCCGCAUUAGCUAGUUGGUAAGGUAACGGCUUACCAAGGCAACGAUGCGUAGCCGACCUGAGAGGGUGAUCGGCCACACUGGAACUGAGACACGGUCCAGACUCCUACGGGAGGCAGCAGUAGGGAAUCUUCCGCAAUGGGCAAAGCCUGACGGAGCAACGCCGCGUGAGUGAUGAAGGUCUUCGAUCGU